Long non-coding RNA from Corapipo altera (White-ruffed manakin), 1544 nucleotides. RefSeq lists it as uncharacterized. NCBI's taxonomy places the organism in Eukaryota, Metazoa, Chordata, Aves, Passeriformes, Pipridae. The transcript has 4 exons. The record is from RefSeq and is a predicted model, not a curated record.
AUCUCCCACUGUCGAUGACGGGAGGGAAGAGAGAAGCGAAAGUGAAACUGUGCGAUGAGAAGCGGGAUGACUGGGAGGGUAGGGGCAGGGAGCGAGGGAGUCUCUCCAGAGUACUGGGAGGGCGACAGAGACAGAAGGAUUAGAGAUUACUUUUUGCCAAAAUCUGGAGCGCAGGUCAAAAUUCCCGGACGUCACGAUUCUGCUGUCAACAGAUGGCUGAAACUACUUUACUUCCCAUAAAGGCAAAGGAAUACCUUCGAGUACAGGAACUGUGAUCAGAGAUCUUCAUGGUACAUGGCAUUUGGUCAUCACGAAUCUAUCAAGUCAGCACCCAGCUUUGUUUUGAUAAGCUGAAGAAAUCAAACUCUUUGAGACUUUCAUUUUAAGACAUUUUCUCCUGUUUUCAGAAAGUCAUGGAGCAAACUUGGAUAUCAGACCUCUGACUAUCUGCUUAGCUUGUUCACCAGCACCCCGAGAGACAAGGCUUGAUGCAGAUUUCUGAUGUGAUUUGGCAGGUCCUGCGAAAAUAACUGCAAGACUUGCUGCUUUAUUGCUUGUCACACAAUAUUCAUACAUUUUUCAUUCAGCUGUAUCUUCUUUACAUAAUCUUUAUUUUUUUGCCACUUUCUAGAUUUAUUCUUACCAACAAACAUUUCCAUUUAUUUUUCUAUCAACUUCUUCCCUCAAAAUGCACCCCCUGCUAGGAUGCAAAUCCAGACUACUUUCACAUCUUUCUAAGACUUUAUGUUUUAGUUACAAAGUUCCUUCUCUGCAACUGGGAAACUUCUCUGCCCCUACAGAUAUGGUUACAUACACUUUUUAAAAUGUCUAUCAAAUACUGAAGUUGAUACCUCACAGGGAUUCAGAGAAGAAAUUACAUUUUACAAUGUUUCUUGAGCUGCAUGCAAAUAUUCGAAAUCUGGUGGAUUUGGUUCAUGUGCUUUUUCCAUGACCAUCUUUGGCUUCUAAGUGAGUGAAAACUACAGCAGAAGGAGCAGCUCAGAGAGGUGUACCCCACAUCCUAGCUCUGCUGCAGGCUGCAAAAACUUGCAAUCACAGAACAUGACAAUUAAUAAAGAAGCUUAGAGCUUUACUUUAAAACACCUAUAUUUGGUAUUUUUGAUAGUGAUGGGAGGAAGUUGCUGUGCCUGUUGGUUUUUUGUAGGCUUCCUGAGGGUUUUAGCAGGUUCAGGUGUUCCUCAUAUGAGAUGAUCCUCUUCUUCCUCCAUGUCCCCUUAACUGCACGUGUACCUGAUUUAAAAAUUGCCUCCUUGUCCCUGAUUGCAAUUUAUGCACUUGAUAUUUGUUACUGUCUUAGGCAACACUCUCAGCAGUGAAAAAAUUGUGCUCACGUGUAGUAAAAUUUCCUUCUCUUUGGGUUGAAAAUUGGGUUUGUUUGAUAGAAGAUAUUUGUUUCUGUCUCUUGACUAAAAGAUUUCUGACUUUGUCUCCCUCACUGUUUACAGACAUCAGGUAAAUCUCAUUUAGUUACACAGUAUGAUAGAGGCGAGGGGUUUAGAAACAUGAGUCAGGACUCACAUUUA